AUGUGUUUGUUCGUUGUUUAUUUGCUUACACAUGAAGACUCUUGUAAAGCCAUACAUUUACAAUUGUUGGUAUUCUUAUCCAGAUGGCAGUUUGCAGAGCAUUUUAGCUGUUGACCGAAGAUUUAAAAAUUUUGUUUUUGGUAUCACCUUCUAGGAAUUUUAUUUCCUUUCCUAAUUAUUGGUGUUUCCAGUUUAGAUUUUUUGGCAUUAAUCGUUUUGCCUUGGUGCUUACUUUCAAACUUUAUGUUUUCUAGGACUUUGGGUUUUGUGCAUGUUCCUUUUCUGAGUUUACUUGAGUAAGACUGUUGCAGUCUGAUGAACACUGUUAAGUUUAGUGUCUUCUGACAACAUAUAGACUAUUUGCUUAUAUUGUGUAUUUGGUGUGAGAUUUCGUUUCUGAAUAUAUGUAGGAUAUACACCUACUUAACAUUAGAGACUGAAAGCCUGCGGUUAAAGCUCUUUUGAUGUAAAAUCGCUCUUAGCUUUUACAAAUAUCAGUUGCUUUGCAGGGUCUGUCACAUUUCAGACCUGCCAUGUUUUACUUCGUCAAAAGUAGCUUUUAGAUGAUGGGACAAUUGCUGUUACAUGUGUGCACAAGUAUGGCAAUUGCUACAGAGCAGGGUUGGGGAAGGUGAUAUCCGGUCGAUUUAUUUUUAUAGCUUAUGGGGUGGAGAUUAGAAAAGUCAAGUUAUUGCAUACAAAUGGUGGAGAUUCUCCUUUGGAUGGAAAAUAGAAAUGGUGUAAAAUGGGUUCAAGACGCAUCAUAUUCAAUAAUUGUACUGAAUGAAGCAUAGGUCAUUCAGUGUACUCUUUACUAUUGUGAGAAGUUAAAGUUGCUGAAUGACAUGAUUGACAAUUUAUUUCUUUAUCUCAUGGUAAACUGGAAAGUAAGAUCUCUCAUGUGGUUUUGGAUUUUGGAAGCUAUGAUAGUGGCAAGAUGGUAUAUGCUCUAGUAUACAAACGAAGGAAUAAUAUGUUUGAAAUAAA
Molecule: long non-coding RNA, 987 nt
Organism: Mangifera indica (mango)
Lineage: Eukaryota; Viridiplantae; Streptophyta; Magnoliopsida; Sapindales; Anacardiaceae
Exons: 2
Source: RefSeq, a predicted model, not a curated record